RNAcentral lists this transfer RNA (84 nucleotides) under Ipomoea nil (Japanese morning glory). It matches the Rfam family "tRNA". Rfam says of the family: Transfer RNA (tRNA) molecules are approximately 80 nucleotides in length. The record is from Rfam by way of RNAcentral. Lineage: Eukaryota; Viridiplantae; Streptophyta; Magnoliopsida; Solanales; Convolvulaceae.
GUCAGGAUGGCUAAGUGGUCUAAGGUGCUAAACUCAAGUUUUGUUCUUCGUAAGAGGGCGUAGGUUCUAAUCCCACUUUUGACA